This 1200-nucleotide long non-coding RNA is filed under the name Bemisia tabaci. Its description in RNAcentral is "lncRNA ENSSSA1NGG013178". The record is from RNAcentral. Lineage: Eukaryota; Metazoa; Arthropoda; Insecta; Hemiptera; Aleyrodidae.
AUGAAUAAAAAUCAAAUAGUUACAACGGUGGAGAAAGUCAUUUGUUCUAAAUAUUGUAGCCACGAGAAGGACUCAUUGGAGAUAAAUCAGGGAUAUCUUUCCAUAAAUGAUAAGAAAAAUUUCAAAGGAUGCGCAAGUUGCUUGCAACAUAAGCCAAACUGCAGCUGUAGAGAUGAAUACAAGGUAAGUGACAAAGAAUUACUUCGUGAGUUGAGACGCUUGGAAAUGAUGGUGUACUGCUUGCAAAAUGAGUCCUAUAAGCAUCUGAAGCAAAUAAGAGAAAAACAAUUUGGUACAGUGAAAUCCAAUCCUAAAAAUAUGAAUCCUGGCACUCUAAAAUCCAGAAGAACAGAGAGGGAACAAGUGUUGAUAGAGGAUGCAAGUCAAUUAAAAAAUGGUUCAUGUCGAAUUUUUCGAGGUAAUCGACUAAAAGUGAAUGGGGGAGACUUAAACCAGUCAGAGCUUCUAAAUGCUGAUGUAUCAAGUAGCUUAUAUAAAGAAAAACAAGAGUUCCAAAAAAAGUAUUCGCUCAACCACAAUUCGCCUCCAAUUCACAAAAAACCAUUGACGCAAGAACUUUUAAUUCCUAUUCAGGAAAAUAAUAAUGGUGAAGUAAUAGAUAAUGUUGAAGCAGAAUAUAAAUAUCAGAAUACAAAUAUAGGUCAAAAUAAGGAAAAUAUAAAUCCUGAAUUGGUAACCUCCAAUAAAAUCAACACUCAAAAUUUGCGACCUGCUUGUAACGAGAGUAAAAGUGAAAAUGACGUGGAAAGAAUCUUACAUGGCAUCCCAUUUCAGACAGACUCGGCAGAUUUUACUCAUGAAAUUAGUGGGCAGUUCCCCAUUUAUGAACACAAAAUAUUGGAAAAUAUUCAAGCAAACGGAGCAGACAGGAGAGAACAAAUGGUACAAAUUGCUUUAAGAAAUAAAUGGAACCAAAAAAGUUUUAGAGGAAAAAGAAUCGUAGUGGCCAACGCAGUCAAAUCUUUGAAGCAAAAGAGGAGAAUGCUGAGAUCAAGGCGGAGUAGAGUGGUCUUCAACCAUUGUACGCAAAGUGAGACAAGAUCUAGACAACGCAGAACUACGGUUAAUUUGAAGGAUGAAUCACAGCAACCGAUCAGAUCAAACUGCAAUGAACAUUAUGCUGGAGGUGAAAAUUUAUCUAAGUACUCUUUAGAUGUUUUAAACGACUGCGCAACAUCA